CCUACGGGUGGCAGCAGUGGGGAAUAUUGGACAAUGGGGGCAACCCUGAUCCAGCCAUGCCGCGUGUGUGAAGAAGGCCCUCGGGUUGUAAAGCACUUUCAGUGAGGAAGAACGCCUGGUGGUUAAUACCCAUCAGGAAAGACAUCACUCACAGAAGAAGCACCGGUUAACUCCGUGCCAGCAGCCGCGGUAAUACGGAGGGUGCGAGCGUUAAUCGGAAUUACUGGGCGUAAAGCGCGCGUAGGUGGCUUGAUAAGCCGGUUGUGAAAGCCCCGGGCUCAACCUGGGAACGGCAUCCGGAACUGUCAAGCUAGAGUGCAGGAGAGGAAGGUAGAAUUCCCGGUGUAGCGGUGAAAUGCGUAGAGAUCGGGAGGAAUACCAGUGGCGAAGGCGGCCUUCUGGACUGACACUGACACUGAGGUGCGAAAGCGUGGGUAGCAAACAGGAUUAGAUACCCGUGUAGUC
RNAcentral lists this ribosomal RNA (465 nucleotides) under Vreelandella stevensii. RNAcentral's name for it is "partial 16S ribosomal RNA". It matches the Rfam family "Bacterial small subunit ribosomal RNA", at positions 338 to 795 of the family's 1533-position model. Lineage: Bacteria; Pseudomonadati; Pseudomonadota; Gammaproteobacteria; Oceanospirillales; Halomonadaceae. The record is from RNAcentral.